RNAcentral lists this ribosomal RNA (259 nucleotides) under uncultured prokaryote. Its description in RNAcentral is "partial 16S ribosomal RNA". It matches the Rfam family "Bacterial small subunit ribosomal RNA", at positions 524 to 782 of the family's 1533-position model. The record is from RNAcentral.
UACGUAGGUGGCAAGCGUUAUCCGGAAUUAUUGGGCGUAAAGAGCGCGCAGGUGGUUGAUUAAGUCUGAUGUGAAAGCCCACGGCUUAACCGUGGAGGGUCAUUGGAAACUGGGGAACUUGAGUGCAGAAGAGGAGAGUGGAAUUCCAUGUGUAGCGGUGAAAUGCGUAGAUAUAUGGAGGAACACCAGUGGCGAAGGCGACUCUCUGGUCUGUAACUGACGCUGAGGCUCGAAAGCGUGGGGAGCAAACAGGAUUAGA